ACGAACUCUCUGAUGCUAUCUGGUAAGGGGUUGUAGGACAUCUUACAUUGAGUUACAAAAUUUUAUGAUAGUAGAAGAAGUUGGAAAGCUUCAACAUAGAAGGUGAUAUUCCUGUAUACGAAAUCAUAAAAUCUCAUAGAUGUAUCCUGAGUAGGGCGGGGCACGUGAAACCCUGUCUGAAUCUGCCGGGACCACCCGGUAAGGCUAAAUACUAAUCAGACACCGAUAGUGAACUAGUACCGUGAGGGAAAGGUGAAAAGAACCCCCAGUGGGUAGUGAAAUAGAACGUGAAACCGUGCUGAGCUCCCAAGCAGUGGGAGGGGAAAGUGAUCUCUGACCGC
RNAcentral lists this ribosomal RNA (341 nucleotides) under Klebsiella pneumoniae. Its description in RNAcentral is "partial 23S ribosomal RNA". It matches the Rfam family "Bacterial large subunit ribosomal RNA", at positions 269 to 600 of the family's 2925-position model. Lineage: Bacteria; Pseudomonadati; Pseudomonadota; Gammaproteobacteria; Enterobacterales; Enterobacteriaceae. The record is from RNAcentral.